AUAAAUAUUUAACGGCCGCGGUACUCUGACCGUGCAAAGGUAGCAUAAUCAUUUGCCUUAUAAUUGAAGGCUAGCAUGAAUGGUUUGAUGAGAACAAAGCUGUCUCCUUUUAAUUUUAUAAAACUUGAUUUUUGGGUGAAGAAGCCCAAAUAAAAUUGAUAGACGAGAAGACCCUAUCGAGCUUAAAAAAAUUUUAUUAAAAUAAAAUUUGCUUGCAAAAGACUAAUUAUAAUAAAAAAUUUUAGUUGGGGCGACUAAGGAACAAUAAAGCUUCCAUUUUUAAUAUUAUAGCAUAUUAGCUAUGAUCCAAAAUUUUUGAUUAAAAGAAUUAGUUACCGUAGGGAUAACAGCAUAAUCUUUUUUGAGAGUUCUUAUCGAA
This 379-nucleotide ribosomal RNA is filed under the name Caldicochlea harrisi. RNAcentral's name for it is "partial 16S ribosomal RNA". It matches the Rfam family "Bacterial large subunit ribosomal RNA", at positions 1916 to 2509 of the family's 2925-position model. Lineage: Eukaryota; Metazoa; Mollusca; Gastropoda; Littorinimorpha; Tateidae. The record is from RNAcentral.